CCAUUUAAAGUGGUACGCGAGCUGGGUUUAGAACGUCGUGAGACAGUUCGGUCCCUAUCUGCCGUGGGCGCUGGAGAACUGAGGGGGGCUGCUCCUAGUACGAGAGGACCGGAGUGGACGCAUCACUGGUGUUCGGGUUGUCAUGCCAAUGGCACUGCCCGGUAGCUAAAUGCGGAAGAGAUAAGUGCUGAAAGCAUCUAAGCACGAAACUUGCCCCGAGAUGAGUUCUCCCUGACCCUUUAAGGGUCCUGAAGGAACGUUGAAGACGACGACGUUGAUAGGCCGGGUGUGUAAGCGCAGCGAUGCGUUGAGCUAACCGGUACUAAUGAACCGUGAGGCUUAACCUUACAACGCCGAAGGUGUUU
RNAcentral lists this ribosomal RNA (365 nucleotides) under Escherichia coli. RNAcentral's name for it is "partial 23S ribosomal RNA". It matches the Rfam family "Bacterial large subunit ribosomal RNA", at positions 2584 to 2925 of the family's 2925-position model. The record is from RNAcentral. Lineage: Bacteria; Pseudomonadati; Pseudomonadota; Gammaproteobacteria; Enterobacterales; Enterobacteriaceae.